Molecule: non-coding RNA, 74 nt
Organism: Gaertneriomyces semiglobifer
Lineage: Eukaryota; Fungi; Chytridiomycota; Chytridiomycetes; Spizellomycetales; Spizellomycetaceae
Source: the annotation of a GenBank genome assembly
GCUCUUGUGGUGUAGCUGGUUAUCACAUCUGCUUCACACGCAGAAGGUCCGCAGUUCGAGUCUGCGCGAGAGUA